Molecule: ribosomal RNA, 901 nt
Filed under: Dactylogyrus minutus
Lineage: Eukaryota; Metazoa; Platyhelminthes; Monogenea; Dactylogyridea; Dactylogyridae
Description: bacterial SSU rRNA
Rfam family: Eukaryotic small subunit ribosomal RNA (bases 1-447)
Source: RNAcentral
ACGGAACCACAUAAGCAGGUGAAACUUCUUAGAGGAACUGGCGCCCGAAAAGGCGCACGAGAAAGAGCAAUAACAGGUCUGUGAUGCCCUAAGAUGUCCGGGGCCGCACGCGUGCUACAAUGACGAUGCUACUGAGCAUGAUUAACUUGUCCGAAAGGAUUGGUGAAACUGUUCAAUCAUCGUCGUGACUGGGAUUGAGGUUUGCAAUUAUCCCUCAUGAACCAGGAAUUCCUAGUAAGCACAAGUCAUAAGCUUGUGCUGAUUACGUCCCUGCCCUUUGUACACACCGCCCGUCGCUACUACCGAUUGAAUGGUUUAGCAAGGACAUUGGAUUGAGCCUUUGCGGUUCACGCUGCUUUGGUUUGAGAAGAUGUCCGAACUUGAUCAUUUAGAGGAAGUAAAAGUCGUAACAAGGUUUCCGUAGGUGAACCUGCGGAAGGAUCAUUAUCAAGUUCCUAUAAAUUAUAGUUGCACAGCCUAUACUCAGUGAUUGAGAGGUCUGCUGCCCCCUCGGUCGGUAAUGGGGAGAUUAUGCUCCCCCGCUGACCAAUUAUGGUACAGAAAUGAGCUCUAUGGCCCUGGCUGUAACACUUCUUACGGUCUGUGGCUCGUAUUGUUCAUGCGCCGACCCACUGGGCGGACUGUUUGGCUUGUGCGAUUAGUGACGUGUUGCACAGGUUGAAUUGUCUUGCAGCUCAGGUUCAGUGAGGCCGGUACGUUCACGCCCCUCUCCCUUCGGGUGAGUCUGUUUGUGCUUUUAUUUGUGCUCAAAGUCGGAAAGGUCUGGCCUUUGGAAGUAGCUCGGUAGUGAAAACCCACCAUAGCACGACUCGGUGCUCUUUAUAGUUACUACUUGGUGAAAACAUAAUACGGACCUGGAAGGCUAUUCAGCGUCUCUGGC